UGUAGCUCAGUAGCAGACAAUCAAUUGUAUAGACAUGACCGAGAAUUGAGUCCGAUCAUAUUACGUCUAAUUGAUUCUCGGGUAUUUUCUCUUCUUUAUUGCUACCUUUCUUACUCGCUGUGGAUAUGACAGCUGCCUUUACAAAUUAUAGUCCGUGCGACACGCUAUAUUAGGUUAUUAAGUUUUCGGUGUUUUUCCAUCCG
Molecule: non-coding RNA, 203 nt
Organism: Cinara cedri
Lineage: Eukaryota; Metazoa; Arthropoda; Insecta; Hemiptera; Aphididae
Source: the annotation of a GenBank genome assembly